Molecule: long non-coding RNA, 1017 nt
Filed under: Catharus ustulatus (Swainson's thrush)
Lineage: Eukaryota; Metazoa; Chordata; Aves; Passeriformes; Turdidae
Description: lncRNA (ENSCUSG00005007949.1)
Source: RNAcentral
AUGGGGGGUGAGGAGAAUUUUUGGGAAUUUUUUGGGGGAUUUUUUGAGGGAUCUGAGGAUGCUCUGGGGGAAUUUAGGGGGAAUUUUGGGGGAUUUUGGGAUUUUUUGAGGUUUUUUUUUGGUUUUUGGGGGGAAUUUUGGGAGGAUUUUGGGAUUUUUGGGGAUUUUUUUGGGGAUUUUUUUGGGGGGAUUUCGGGAUUUUUGGGGGGUCUGGGGAGGUUGGGGGGUCUGGGGGGAAUUUCUGGAAUUUUUUGGGAAUUUUUGGGAUUUUUUUUGGAUUUUUUUUUUAUUUUUUUUGGAGAGUUACUGGGAGUUACUGGGAGUUACUGGGAGGGCACUGGGAGUUACUGGGAGUUACUGGGAGUUACUGGGAGUUACUGGGAGUUACUGGGAGGGCACUGGGAGUCACUGGGAGUUACUGGGAGUUACUGGGAGUUACUGGGAGUCACUGGGAGUUACUGGGAGUUACUGGGAGGGCACUGGGAGUUACUGGGAGUUACUGGGAGUUACUGGGAGUUACUGGGAGUCACUGGGAGUCACUGGGAGUCACUGGGAGUUACUGGGAGUUACUGGGAGUUACUGGGAGUCACUGGGAGUCACUGGGAGGGCACUGGGAGUGACUGGGAGUCACUGGGAGUUACUGGGAGUUACUGGGAGUCACUGGGAGUCACUGGGAGGGCACUGGGAGUUACUGGGAGUUACUGGGAGGGCACUGGGAGUUACUGGGAGUCACUGGGAGUUACUGGGAGUUACUGGGAGUUACUGGGAGUCACUGGGAGUUACUGGGAGUUACUGGGAGGUCACUGGGAGUUACUGGGAGGUCACUGGGAGUUACUGGGAGUUACUGGGAGGUCACUAGAGGUCACUGGAGGUCACUGGAGGUCACUGGGAGAAGGGGGCGGGGCCAUCCCCAGCUCAGCCAAUCAGGCGCCAGCACCCCCGGGAAACCCCGCCCCUUUAUGCAAAUCCCCAUUCCCACACCAGCCAAUCAGAAGCCGGCAUGCAAAUGAGCUGUGA